CUUGGAUCUGAAAAAAAUGUUGCUUUUUAAAUUUAAAUGAGAGGGAUCAGUCCCAUCCCACAUUUUCCUCUGGGAUGAUAUUCCCUAUAGUUUGCUGGCUCUUGAGUGGGCUAAGGGUCUCAGCCUCCUUCACAGCUGUCCCAGGCAGGGCAUGGGGAAGGGCCCGUGUCCCGUGGGUGCUGGAGGAGGUGGUGGGUGGCGGGACCCCUGGGCACAGACCCCCCUGGUCACAGAGCCCCUGCGCCACCACCACACUCGCUCUUGGGCUGGGGCUGUUGGAAGGUGACGCUGCAAAGGCCGCGAUGACAAAGCUUCUGCCCCAAGCCCUGGCACUGCUGGGGAACUGUGUGGCCCAGAAUUGUGGGUCUGGGCUGGGGAAAGGCAACGGCUGAGGAUCAUCAGCCCCAUCCCAGCCCAGCUGAGCUGUUCCUGCAGAACAGCCCUCAUGGCCCUGUGGCAGCUCCGAGUCAGUUUUCUCUUCCCAGCAGUGUAGAUGGCUCCAACCCCAUGCCAAGGGCUGUUCUCCAGGUACACAGUUCAAGGCAGAAGCGUGCUGCUUUGGGGACAGAGUGUGUUGGCUGGGCAGGCUGGAGGAGGCAGGAGGAGGCUGGGCAUGAGUGCUCGCAUAUAUUAGCUGAGCUGAGCUGAUGUCUGUUACCACGUUAGCUCUAGAAUUACUCUGAAGCCCAGGAAGACUCAGGUCCCUUGGGAAGUGAGCAUGGAACUUUUCCACACUGUUGGAUCAAGUUCCCGUCCCAAACUCCGAACCAGCGUGAGGUGGAGGGGGGCACAGGUUGGGUUUUGCCCCAUUCCCAGGUUGCGCAGGAGCAGUGCUGAUUCCAAGCCGCCGUGGCAGCACGAGCCGCACCCCGUUGUGCCGUCCCGGCCCCGCGCCUCGCCGCGACCCGAGUCGCAGCUGAUGUCGCGUUCCGAGCGCCACUCGCGGAACCUGCGGCGCGACCGGCCUCGCCUCCCCGUCCCCGCAAGCGCCAUUACGCAGUGCUGCCGCUGCAGCAUCGGUUUCGCCUCCGGAGCACUCCGAGGAGGACCCAGAAUUUACAGAUAAGCAAAAGACUCCUGACUUUCAGAACACGUGGUCGCGAGUGCGGGGGCGAAGGGCGCGCGGUAAACGUGGUAGCUUUGGAGGUUUUUCCGGGUCUGUUUUCGUCUGACCGGGAUCUGCGCGGGGGGAACGCAGCCGCCGCCGGACUCGGGGGAGCUUCUGCGCCGGAGGCGACCUGAUGGAGGAGAAGAAAAAGGAGGACACAGCUCCCCGGGAGCCCUAGUCGAGCUGCGGCAGCUCAGACUGGGCAGGAUGGGACGGCUGACAGAGGGACGGGAGGUUUUAGAUUCUUCAGCGGGGGGUGGGGGGACGCGGUUGGCAUGGUUGCCGCUACUAUUCCAAUGUGAAGACGAGAAAGUCCGGAGAGCGCAGGGGACGCGAGCCGAGACUGCUAGCGAGGUCAGGAUUAUCGGUGCUGGGAAGGGCAUAUAUUAACUGCACUAUCGACGCUGGCAGCGCUCUGUUUCGUGCUGCGGGAGUUCCGACUGGGAAAUUGCGAACAGCUCGCCAGCACAGUCAGCGCGGCUAGCAACGCAGAGGUAACGCUGCGAGAAACAGCGACCACGCAGCUAUGGGCCGCUAAAUGUAGCCCUUUGAGUCACAAAAAAGCGGCUUUGCUAAUGGGCAGGUCAUCUGUUACUUUAAAAAGUGCUUUUUUGUUGCCAGGGGGAAUGGAUGCAGAUUUGGGGGGGGGAGGGGGCGAGUCAGAUGUUUGCCCCUCACGAUUUCAAAACACUAUUUCGUUUAAUAAUGACCGAUAUGCAGUACACAAUGUGGGGAUCGAGGCAGAAUCAAUUAGCAAAGAAACAAGCGAUUGCAAAUUCGGCUGCAGAAACACGUAACGCUUUGCAAACCGUUACUGCGGAUGCUUUGAUGAGGCAAGGUAAACAAGUCUCUGACACGGUGCAAGCCCGGAGGACGUGCCGCGCUGGGCUGCAGCAAAUAACAGAUAGCAGUGCACAUCUCCAAUUCUGUUCCGGACACAAACACGCAGAGAAUGCCCUUUACCCAUAUUAAACAGCAAAAAUGGGAGGCAAAAACAAACAUAUCAAACAUUUUUAACAGCAGAACAGACGUCUCUGCCUCACAAUGACCCUUAAAAAACACUCAAACCUGUUUAGCAAAUAUUCCUAUACUGACGUCGCCGAAGCAGAGACAUCAUAGCCAUCAACAGCCCAGGUAUUAACUCUGUUUCCAUUAGUCCCACCGAAAUCACUCAUUCUGUAGAGCAGAGACUGCUUCAGUCAGGGGGAGAAUCAGUUAACAGAAGAUUUUUCCUAAAAGCUACUCUUUUGGCAGCUAAAUCCACAGGUAACCCAAGAAACAAAUAGCCCUAUAUGGAUGAAACAAUGGCUACUCCAUUUACAGCCAUUAGUGGAGGAACAACUAAAUACAGCCUCUCUUGUUAGCAGAAAGCCCUUCACGAAACUAUCCAUCUCUCGAGUCUGGGGGAAAAUGGAUUUUCGUGGUUUUUACCCCUGUCUCAGAGUGGGGGAAAACUUUCAAAAACCAGGAUUUUACAAUUUUCUAGUGUGAUAUAUAAAUAAUUGUGAUUCGUGAAACAAAUGGGUGAUUAUAUCAAAAUAAAACAAACAGAUUGUAAAACUUAAUUACACCCCCAUAAAGAAAUAAAACAGACCCUCACAAGGUCAAGAGGUCUAAAACCUCCCUACUCUCCUAAGAAUAAAAUAUAGUAGAACUUUAAAUCUUUAGGCGCCUGUUCGUCCAAGGAUGCGUGAAUUAUGACUGGUUGUAGAGAUAACCCUUUUAGCUUUAGCUGUAAGAAAACCCAUAUAUUAAAUACUUAGCAAAAACCUGUAGAAUGUAUAUGUAUAUGAUAUAAUUAAUAUGCAUGAAGUAGCUAAGAUAAAUACUAAAUGUACCCUGUAGUAGGUGUGCAGAUUUGGGAAACUGGUCCCAUUUCCGUCACCCAGCCGGCUGCUUGCUUUUACCAUAUAACAAACUAUUAUUCGAAACUUAUAGAAACUCGAGACUUUGUUUAUCACACUAGGUUAAAGAAAAAGGUAAAAAAAACCCUCUUGCAAAACUUCUGCCUUUGCAAGAGAAAAGAUAUUACUACUUACGUAAUAGCAGUCAUUUGUUGCUUGGCAACUGGAUUGAGACAGAUCCUAUCCCGAGGUAGAAAAACGAAAAACUUUCCUACUUAUUUUUUGGUUAAGUUUUCCUGCCUACAGAAUAUGGGGGAGGGAAAUUUUCUUUGUUAUCUAAAACCCUUAAAGUUGCUUUUUGAGUUUAUCUCCGCAAGACCAGAACACUGGGCGCCUGCCUGAGCAAGCAAUGACAAGCUCCAUUCAGUGAAAAUGAAGAAAAUUGUUUUCUGAUUCCUGUGACAUCCACGAAUGAGAACUCUCACAACAAAAGAACAUGCUGAACAGUGAGGUCGGGUGAAGCAACAACGAGAUUGGAGACUGUGGAGCGGGGAAAAAACCAGACCUUGCAGAGAACGGAACAGCUCAUUACAGAAGUUCCCAGGUGUAUUCAUUGUUCCUGCAGAAACUCCUGGACUUUUUGCAAAUGUUUUUUAGAUUGUGACCUUUUGAUUUGCUGGGAUUGUGCUCGGGUUUGGAUCCACUCUGCUGCUUAGACCUGUCUGUUCCUGCAGUUGCCCAGAACCAACUUCUAUAAUCCAACAACAGUUUUGCUUCUGA
Pseudopipra pipra is the source of this 3732-nucleotide long non-coding RNA. RefSeq lists it as uncharacterized. The record is from RefSeq and is a predicted model, not a curated record. Lineage: Eukaryota; Metazoa; Chordata; Aves; Passeriformes; Pipridae. The transcript has 2 exons.